Molecule: ribosomal RNA, 430 nt
Filed under: uncultured Bacteroides sp.
Lineage: Bacteria; Pseudomonadati; Bacteroidota; Bacteroidia; Bacteroidales; Bacteroidaceae
Description: bacterial SSU rRNA
Rfam family: Bacterial small subunit ribosomal RNA
Source: RNAcentral
UUUCGAUGAUACGCGAGGAACCUUACCCGGGCUUGAAUUGCAGAGGACAUAGUUGAAAGAUUAUGGCCGCAAGGUCUCUGUGAAGGUGCUGCAUGGUUGUCGUCAGCUCGUGCCGUGAGGUGUCGGCUUAAGUGCCAUAACGAGCGCAACCCUUAUCAUUAGUUACUAACAGGUCAUGCUGAGGACUCUAGUGAGACUGCCGUCGUAAGAUGUGAGGAAGGUGGGGAUGACGUCAAAUCAGCACGGCCCUUACGUCCGGGGCUACACACGUGUUACAAUGGGGGGUACAGAGGGCAGCUACCGGGCGACCGGGUGCCAAUCCCAAAAACCUCUCUCAGUUCGGAUCGAAGUCUGCAACCCGACUUCGUGAAGCUGGAUUCGCUAGUAAUCGCGCAUCAGCCACGGCGCGGUGAAUACGUUCCCGGGCCUU